Molecule: long non-coding RNA, 757 nt
Filed under: Brassica rapa (field mustard)
Lineage: Eukaryota; Viridiplantae; Streptophyta; Magnoliopsida; Brassicales; Brassicaceae
Description: long non-coding RNA (BRAP_LNC007249)
Source: RNAcentral
CAACUCUGUGCUUGACAAGACCAUCGUCAACCUCGACGAUAGAACUCAAGUUGCUUAUGGUUCAAAGAACGAGAUCAUCCGUUUCGAAGAAACCCUUUAUGGAACAUCAAGACUCAAGAAUGUUCCCAUUGGAGUUACUGCUUAGAACCUCAUUUUAAAUAAAAACUGAAAGCAUGUUUUUUUUCCAAAAAAAGGAUAAUGUAUGUACUUUUGCUAUUGGGUUAUAUGAGAAGCAACAAAACUAUUGCCAUUGUUUUAACUAGGUAAGAAACCAUGCAAUAUUGCAUAGAAGCUCAUUUUAUAAAAUAAAAAUAUAUCACGUUUUAUAUAAUUACUUUUGGAAAAUACAUGAAUUACAAAAUUAUGUUGCAUACAGCUAUAUUUCUUUAUUAAUAUUACUAAAAAUCUAUAUUUUAUUUUUAGGUUAGUUGUAAUGAAAUUACAAAGAUGUUAAUACCAAAUAAAAUAUAUGUUUUAUUAUCCGUUUAGCCGAGAUAUUUAGAAAUCUCAAAAACAACUGAAUAUUUGAAACUAAUUAGAAAGUAAACACAUUCUAAUAUAAUCAUUUACUAAAUUAGUAAGGUACAAUGUGGGACCUGAAAUAUAAUUACUGCUUAGAACCUCAUUUAAAAUAAAAACUGAAAGCAUGUUUUUUCUCCAAAAAAAAAAGAAUGUUUAUUUUUCCAUAAAACGGAUAAUGCAUGUACUUUUGCUAUUGGGUUAUAUGAGAAGCAACAAAACUAUUGCCAUUGUUUUA